CCUACGGGAGGCAGCAGUGAGGAAUAUUGGUCAAUGGGCGAGAGCCUGAACCAGCCAAGUCGCGUGAGGGAGUACUGCCCUAUGGGUUGUAAACCUCUUUUGUCGGGGAGCAAAAGCCGGACGUGUCCGGCUGUGAGAGUACCCGAAGAAAAAGCAUCGGCUACCUCCGUGCCAGCAGCCGCGGUAAUUCGGAGGAUGGGAGCGUUAGCCGGAUUUAUUGGGUUUAAAGGGUGCGCAGGCGGAUUUUUAAGGUAGCGGUCAAAACGUGGGGGUCACCCCCAUCCAGCCGUUGACACUGGGGAUAUAGAGGGUGCGAGAGGUAUGCGGAAUGCGUGGUGUAGCGGUGAAAUGCAUAGAUAUCACGCAGAACCCCGAUUGCGAAGGCAGCAUACCGGUGCACAACUGACGCUCAGGCACGAAAGCGUGGGUAUCGAACAGGAUUAGAUACCCCUGUAGUC
This 458-nucleotide ribosomal RNA is filed under the name uncultured bacterium. Its description in RNAcentral is "partial 16S ribosomal RNA". It matches the Rfam family "Bacterial small subunit ribosomal RNA", at positions 338 to 795 of the family's 1533-position model. The record is from RNAcentral.